AACGCACAUUGCGCCCCUUGGUAUUCCGAGGGGCAUGCCUGUUCGAGCGUCAUUUCACCACUCAAGCCUGGCUUGGUAUUGGGCGCCGCGGUCCGCCGCGCGCCUCAAUGUUUCCGGCUGAGCCGUCCGUCUCUAAGCGUUGUGGUAACCUAUCCGCUUGCGAGUCGGGGGGCGUCUGGCCGUUAAACUCAUUCAAAGGUUGACCUCGGAUCAGGUAGGGAUACCCGCUGAACUUAA
This 237-nucleotide unclassified non-coding RNA is filed under the name Dothideomycetes sp. RNAcentral describes it as "partial contains 5.8S ribosomal RNA, internal transcribed spacer 2, and large subunit ribosomal RNA". The stretch from base 1 to 52 matches the Rfam family "5.8S ribosomal RNA", at positions 103 to 154 of the family's 154-position model. RNAcentral also lists the same sequence under 2 other names. Lineage: Eukaryota; Fungi; Ascomycota; Dothideomycetes. The record is from RNAcentral.